GAUGAACGCUGGCGGCGUGCCUAAUACAUGCAAGUCGAGCGAACGGACGAGAAGCUUGCUUCUCGGAUGUUAGCGGCGGACGUGUGAGGAACACGUGGAUAACCUACCUAUAAGACUGGGAUAACUUCGUGAAACCGGAGCUAAUACCGAAUAAUAUUUUGAACCGCAGGGUUCAAAAGUGAAAGACGGUCUUGCUGUCACUGAGAGAUGUAUCCGCGCUGCAUUAGCUAGUUGGUAAGGUAGCGGCUUACCAAGGCAACGAUGCAUAGCCGACCUGAGAGGGUGAACCGCCACUCUGGAGCUGAGACGCGGUACAGACUCCUACGGGCGGCCGCAGUAGCGAAGCGUGCGCGAUGGGCGAAAGCCUGAAGGAGCAGCGCAGCGUGAGUGCUGAAGGUCUUCGGAUCGUAUAACUCUGUUCUUAGGGAAGACCAUAUGUGUCAGUAACUGUGCACAUCUUGACGGUACCUAAUGAGAAAGCCCCGGCUAACUACGUG
This 497-nucleotide ribosomal RNA is filed under the name uncultured bacterium. RNAcentral describes it as "partial 16S ribosomal RNA". It matches the Rfam family "Bacterial small subunit ribosomal RNA", at positions 28 to 507 of the family's 1533-position model. The record is from RNAcentral.